Molecule: long non-coding RNA, 1054 nt
Filed under: Sus scrofa (pig)
Lineage: Eukaryota; Metazoa; Chordata; Mammalia; Artiodactyla; Suidae
Description: lncRNA (ENSSSCG00050062241.1)
Source: RNAcentral
GGAGGCGGAAGGCGACUCGGACCUGGGCGCCCGGCCCAGGGCGGUGUGGCUGAGCGGCUGCCCCAGCCCCAGUCUGGGCCCGGCCUCUCGCCUCUUGCCUUCGGCCUCCCGCCUCCCGUCCCGGGCGGGCUGCGCGGCACCGACCCGACGGCGGCGGGCGGGGCAGGGGAGGCACGGGGAAGAAAUAGAACCCCGACCUCGCGGACCCGGGCCCGGCCCGCGGGCUCGCCUGCCUCUCCUGCCCAGCAGAGCACCCGGAGCGGUACCGGCCCAGCGGCCGCUCUCCGCGACUUGGGCCUCUCGUCCUCUGACGCGCCUCCCGGGCAGGGCCGAGGUCGGGGCCGAGGUCUCCCACUAGAGGGCCACGAUCUGCCUACGCGGCUGUGUCGCCCUAGCGGAGGGCGAGCGCCUCAGGAGCUGAGACGGCGUCCUCUUCCCUCAGAUCUGGCACUAGUGGAGCCUAGUAGGCAGCUAUGUGAAAGGUAGCAGAGGGGGCAUGGGCCUGGCGCUUACUAGGUGCGCCCUCAAUGUUGGGUCAUUGCUAUAUCUAGAGACCUGCACGAAGGCCCGGAGGAAUGGAGCCUCUGGAGGAACCGUGAGACCCGCGGUGAACAGAGUUGAAGGCCUGGCAACGGGUGCCUCCCAGGGUAUAGACGGCAAGACCUCCGAGUUACAGGGGAAGCUAGGACUGUGCAAGGUGAGAACGGAGAGGUGGGCAGAUGGCCCAGAAGGUGACCAGCAGGACCUUCCAAGAGCCCAGCGUACCUGGAGACAGGCGGAAUUAAGGCAACAGCCAGUUUGAGAUACACACUGAACUUCAAACAAGUCUAGACUACCACCUGCAGACUACUGGAGACAACUUUUUAUUUGAAUGAACAGAAUCGUGGACUAAAAUGAAAGAGAAAAUAAUGUAUCGGGAUUGUGGCAAUACAUAGAAGCCAUGGGACAGGAAGUAUUAUUAUCCCUUUCUGUAAAGGUUUGGAACCAGGGAAAAGAUGAAAACGUCAACUUUAUCACCAAUAAAGCAGAGCUGAAAAAUGUCUUGGAUGAUGAC